RNAcentral lists this ribosomal RNA (482 nucleotides) under uncultured bacterium. Its description in RNAcentral is "partial 16S ribosomal RNA". It matches the Rfam family "Bacterial small subunit ribosomal RNA", at positions 30 to 507 of the family's 1533-position model. The record is from RNAcentral.
AUUGAACGCUGGCGGCAUGCUCUACACAUGCAAGUCGAACGGCAACAGGCCGCUUGGUGCUGUCCAGUUGCGAACGGGCGAGUAAUGCAUCCGAACGUUCCCAGUCGUGGAGGAUAACUACUCGAAAGAGUAGCUGAUACCGCAUACGAUCUAUCGCUUAGAGCGGGGGACCGUAAGGCCUCGCGCGAUUGUAGCGUCCGAUGUCAGAUUAUCUAGUUGGUGGGGUAAAGGCUUACCAAGCCAACGAUCUGUAGCUGGUCUGAGAGGACGAUCAGCCACACUGGGACUGAGACACGGCCCAGACUCCUACGGGAGGCAGCAGUGGGGAAUUUUGGACAAUGGGCGCAAGCCUGAUCCAGCAAUGCCGCGUGUAGGAAGAAGGCCUUCGGGUUGUAAAGUGCUUUUGUUCGGAAAGAAAAGGCUCUGGUUAAUACCCGGGGCUAAUGACGGUACCGUAAGAAUAAGCACCGGCUAACUACGUG